Molecule: non-coding RNA, 809 nt
Filed under: Tropidurus bogerti
Lineage: Eukaryota; Metazoa; Chordata; Lepidosauria; Squamata; Tropiduridae
Description: partial small subunit ribosomal RNA
Rfam family: Bacterial small subunit ribosomal RNA
Source: RNAcentral
CUGUUUUUGAUUAAAAUUACACAUGUAAGUAUCCGCACACCAGUGAGUUACGGCCCUAAAAGUAAAAAGGAGCAGGUAUCAGGCACGAACUUCAGCCCAAGACACCUUGCCACGCCACACCCCCACGGGAAAGCAACAGUGACAAACAUUAAGCCAUGAGCGAACAAACCCCACAAGCUUGACUUAGUUAUAAUCAAACAGGGCCGGCCAAUCUCGUGCCAGCCGCCGCGGUUAUACGAGAGGCCCAAAUCAGCGUCCAACGGCGUAAAUUGUGACUAGAACUAAACUCCAAUAAAAGAAACAAACCACUGCCUAACCGUAAAACACAGGCAAAAAGAAACUUCUUUGUCCAAAGUACUUUGAACUCACGAAAGCUAGGAAACAAACUAGGAUUAGAUACCCUACUAUGCCUAGCCGUUAAUAAGACACCCAUCAACAAGAUGUCCGCCAGAAAACUACAAGCGAAAAGCUUAAAACUCAAAAGACUUGGCGGUGUCCCACACCCGACUUAGAGGAGCCUGUCCUAUAAUCGAUAACCCACGAUAGACCCAACCACCCUUUGCCAUGCCCGCCUAUAUACCGCCGUCGCAAACCUACCUUACAAAAGAAAAAUAGUAGGUAAAACAGUAAAACACUAAAACGUCAGGUCAAGGUGUAGCCAAUGGGGUGGAAGAGAUGGGCUACAUUCUUUAAUACUAAAGCACACAGAAAGAACCAUGAAAUUAUUCCUAAAGGAGAAUUUAACAGUAAAAUUGGCAAGACAAGCCAACUUUAAGCCCGCUCUGGGACGCGCACACACCGCCCGUCAC